Molecule: non-coding RNA, 470 nt
Organism: Cavia porcellus (domestic guinea pig)
Lineage: Eukaryota; Metazoa; Chordata; Mammalia; Rodentia; Caviidae
Source: the annotation of a RefSeq genome assembly
GGGCAGACCAAAGACCACGGGGUUUGCACUGAGCCCUGGCUGCAGGAGGCAUGAACAAGAUUCUGGGAGCAUCAGUUCUAAUUCUCGUCCUUCAGAGGGCAUGGGUGAGCAGCCAACAGAAGGAUAAAAGUGACCAACAACAGGUGAAACAAAAUCCUUCAUAUUUGACAGUCCAGGAAGGAGAGACUUCAAUUCUGAACUGCACAUAUGAGAACAGUGCAUUUGACUACUUCCUGUGGUACCGGCAGCUCCCUGGUAAAGGUCUUGAACUGCUGAUCACCAUACGAUUAAUUUCAAAUGAGAAGGAAGAUGGAAGAUUCAAAGUACUGCUCAAGAAGAGUGACAAAGAGCUUUCUUUGCAUAUCAGGACUUCUCAGGUUGGAGACUCAGCCACCUACUUCUGCGCAGCAAGAGCACAGUGCUCCUCAGACAGCUGCAGCCUGUGCACAAACCUGCCCUUGUUGCUGUAG